CUAUAGUCACCUUGCAGCGGCAAAUUCCGUUGCCGGGUUUGAGACCCCGUAUA
RNAcentral lists this non-coding RNA (53 nucleotides) under Sodalis glossinidius str. 'morsitans'. Lineage: Bacteria; Pseudomonadati; Pseudomonadota; Gammaproteobacteria; Enterobacterales; Bruguierivoracaceae. The record is from RNAcentral.